GAAUUCCUGACUUGGCACGACUUGUUUUUAAAUUAAAAUACCAGACACUUUCGUCAGUGUCUUGCCCCUCCAAUUUGGUGGUUUCCAGAUUCUUGUGGAUGACUGGUCAGAAGCAGCCCUGCAUGAGUAACACGCAACUGGAUGGGGCCACAAGAACCCCCCACCCACCCUGACUCCAUCCACAGACGAUACAGCCUAGCUUCAGCCAGGAUGAAGCCAGGGAUUAGCAAAGUGAAGUGCAGGUUUCUGUCUGCAUUCCAGCGACCACGUUGUUGGGUGCAGCUCACACUGACGCAAGCGUCCAGAAUGCGCUGGGCUCAACAGGAAGAACAAACAAGCCCACGUCGAGGAGGCCACCCAGUCGCAUGGACCGCGGGCCUGAAGCAGGAGAGCUCUUCUAGACAGGCUUGUACGCUAGCCUGAAGGGACCAUGUCGACUCCACCGCUCAGGCCAAGAAGCAGUUUGCCACAGAUAAAAUCUAACACCAGCAGCAACAACAGAAAAAUCACAACAGGGCUCUGAAACACAUGGUGUGAACUGAACCCUAUUGAUUUCCCCACACUCUUGUGAAUGGUGCUGGGUGGAAGCAGAGGAUGUGAGAGAU
Long non-coding RNA from Betta splendens (Siamese fighting fish), 605 nucleotides. RefSeq lists it as uncharacterized. The transcript is spliced from 2 exons. NCBI's taxonomy places the organism in Eukaryota, Metazoa, Chordata, Actinopteri, Anabantiformes, Osphronemidae. The record is from RefSeq and is a predicted model, not a curated record.